GUGACCUCAAAUCAGGUAGGACUACCCGCUGAACUUAAGCAUAUCAAUAAGCGGAGGAAAAGAAACUAACAAGGAUUCCCCUAGUAACUGCGAGUGAAGCGGGAAAAGCUCAAAUUUAAAAUCUGGCAGUCUUUGGCUGUCCGAGUUGUAAUCUAGAGAAGUGUUAUCCGCGCUGGACCGUGUACAAGUCUCCUGGAAUGGAGCGUCAUACUUUGACACGGACUA
This 225-nucleotide ribosomal RNA is filed under the name uncultured Dermocybe. RNAcentral describes it as "partial 28S ribosomal RNA". It matches the Rfam family "Eukaryotic large subunit ribosomal RNA", at positions 1 to 224 of the family's 3401-position model. Lineage: Eukaryota; Fungi; Basidiomycota; Agaricomycetes; Agaricales; Cortinariaceae. The record is from RNAcentral.